Molecule: ribosomal RNA, 244 nt
Filed under: uncultured bacterium
Lineage: Bacteria
Description: partial 16S ribosomal RNA
Rfam family: Bacterial small subunit ribosomal RNA
Source: RNAcentral
ACUUAGCGGCGGACGGGUGAGUAACGCGUGGGUAACCUGCCUUACGCUGGGGGAUAACAGUUAGAAAUGACUGCUAAUACCGCAUAAGCGCACAGGGCCGCAUGGUCUGGUGUGAAAAACUCCGGUGGUGUAAGAUGGACCCGCGUCUGAUUAGGUAGUUGGUGGGGUAACGGCCCACCAAGCCGACGAUCAGUAGCCGACCUGAGAGGGUGACCGGCCACAUUGGGACUGAGACACGGCCCAA